This 1523-nucleotide long non-coding RNA is filed under the name Zostera marina. Its description in RNAcentral is "long non-coding RNA (ZMAR_LNC006035)". Lineage: Eukaryota; Viridiplantae; Streptophyta; Magnoliopsida; Alismatales; Zosteraceae. The record is from RNAcentral.
CCUCGAAAUUUGAACCCUUCACAAGAGAAGGUCAGGAUCGACAUUCCAUAAUCAUUCAGAUGGACAUCCUCAGAGGGGGAUAGACGACGACAUUUACCUUGGAAUCGAAACCCUUCACAAGAGAAGGACAGGAUCGACAUUCCAUAAAUAUUCAGAUCGAGAUCCUCAGAGGGGGAUAGACGUCGACAUUUGACUCGGAAUUCGAACCCUUCACAAGAGAAGGGCAGGAUCGACAUUCCACAAAUAUUCAGAUCGACAUCCUCAGAGGGGGAUAGACAUCGACAUUUACCUCGAAAUUCGAACCCUUCACAAGAGAAGGUCAGGAUCGACAUUCCACAAACAUUCAGUUAGACAUCCUCAGAGGAGGAUAGACGUCGACAUUUACCUUGGAAUCGAAACCCUUCACAAGAGAAGGACAUGAUCGACAUUCCACAAAUAUUCAGAUCGACAUCCUCAGAGGGGGAUAGACGUCGACAUUUACCUUGGAAUCGAAACCCUUUAUAAGAGAAGGGCAGAAUCGACAUUCCACAAAAUUCAGUUCGACAUCCUCAGAGGGGGAUAGAUGUCGACAUUUACUAUUGAAUCGAAACCCUUCACAAGAGAAUUCGAAGGACAGGAUCGACAAGAGAAGGGCAGGAUCGACAUUCCAUAAAAUUCAGUUCGACAUCCUCAGAGGGGGAUAGACGUCGACAUUUACCUUGGAAUCGAAACCCUUCACAAGAGAAGGACAGGAUCGACAUUCCACAAAUAUUCAGAUCGACAUCCUCAGAGGGGGACAGACGUCGACAAUAUUCACAGUUGACAUCGACAUCCUCAGAAAAGGAUAAGAUCGACCUUCAUACGACAUCGACAUCUUCAGGGAGAGAUGAGAUCGACUUUUAGUAUGAUUGUCAACAUCCUAAGAGAAGGAAAGAGUCAACCAUCACACGAUAUCAACAUCCUCAGAAAAAGAUGAGAUCGACUUUUAUAUGACGUCGACAUCUCCAGGGAGAGAUGGGAUCGACUUUCUGUACAAACUUCGACAUCUUCAGAAAAGGAUGACACCGACCAAAAGGAAGUAUCGACUUUAAGAACAAGAGCAUCGACAUUCCAAAAAAGUCGAUCAUCACAAACUACACCGACGUACUUCAGAGUAAAGGUGUAAAACAAAUGAGAAAAAGGGUGAGAUAUCUUUAUUCAGAAUUACAAGUAAAAGGAAUGAAAGUAUUACAAAUCCCUAGUUAAAAUUAAUACGGCGACGCAAGCGGCGAGGAAUCUGACCUGGCGGAGAAGCACCGCGUCGGGGGCGCCUCCGACGUCGACCACGAAGAGGGACAGCAGGGGAAACAGCAGGCGGAAGAUCGUCGACGGACCAUUCCUCAAAUAUUGAUUCCCUGGCCGCAACGGCAACACUCUGCCGCUCAACAAUAAUUUGACGCAAAGCAGGAAGAUCCAAGGCCGAAGACUACUAGCAAAUAGUUACUGUAUAACUAGACUACAUAGCUAAUGGGAGAGAGUCAAUGAGCAUUUUGCUCAUUUCUUUU